CAGUCGCGUUCUCUGGGAUUCAGCCUUGCUUCUUGCUUGGUGCAUUUCCUAGUCUACGGGCCAGCAUGAAUCUUGAGCGGUGGAAAAGGGUUUGGGGAAUGUGGCACCUCCGGGUGUGUUAUAGCCCUGGGCAGAUGCGCUGCGCGGGACUGAGG
This 155-nucleotide ribosomal RNA is filed under the name Paraglomus laccatum. Lineage: Eukaryota; Fungi; Glomeromycota; Glomeromycetes; Paraglomerales; Paraglomeraceae. The record is from RNAcentral.